Molecule: ribosomal RNA, 253 nt
Filed under: uncultured bacterium
Lineage: Bacteria
Description: partial 16S ribosomal RNA
Rfam family: Bacterial small subunit ribosomal RNA
Source: RNAcentral
UACGUAGGCAGCAAGCGUUGUUCGGAGUUACUGGGCGUAAAGGGUGUGUAGGCGGUUCUUUAAGUUUGGUGUGAAAUCUCCCGGCUCAACCGGGAGGGUGCGCCGAAAACUGAAGGGCUAGAGUGCGGGAGAGGAGAGUGGAAUUCCUGGUGUAGCGGUGAAAUGCGUAGAUAUCAGGAGGAACACCGGUGGUGUAAACGGCUCUCUGGACCGUAACUGACGCUGAGACACGAAAGCGUGGGGAGCGAACAGG